RNAcentral lists this ribosomal RNA (167 nucleotides) under Erica solandri. RNAcentral describes it as "5.8S ribosomal RNA". It matches the Rfam family "5.8S ribosomal RNA". Rfam says of the family: 5.8S ribosomal RNA (5.8S rRNA) is a component of the large subunit of the eukaryotic ribosome. It is transcribed by RNA polymerase I as part of the 45S precursor that also contains 18S and 28S rRNA. Functionally, it is thought that 5.8S rRNA may be involved in ribosome translocation. Lineage: Eukaryota; Viridiplantae; Streptophyta; Magnoliopsida; Ericales; Ericaceae. The record is from RNAcentral.
CCAAAUGACUCUCGGCAACGGAUAUCUCGGCUCUUGCAUCGAUGAAGAACGUAGCGAAAUGCGAUACUUGGUGUGAAUUGCAGAAUCCCGUGAACCAUCGAGUCUUUGAACGCAAGUUGCGCCUGAAGCCAUCAGGUUGAAGGCACGUCUGCCUGGGCGUCACACAU